RNAcentral lists this ribosomal RNA (753 nucleotides) under Salmonella enterica subsp. enterica serovar Infantis. RNAcentral's name for it is "partial 23S ribosomal RNA". It matches the Rfam family "Bacterial large subunit ribosomal RNA", at positions 2050 to 2802 of the family's 2925-position model. RNAcentral also lists the same sequence under 1 other name. The record is from RNAcentral. Lineage: Bacteria; Pseudomonadati; Pseudomonadota; Gammaproteobacteria; Enterobacterales; Enterobacteriaceae.
GCUGUGAAGAUGCAGUGUACCCGCGGCAAGACGGAAAGACCCCGUGAACCUUUACUAUAGCUUGACACUGAACAUUGAGCCUUGAUGUGUAGGAUAGGUGGGAGGCUUUGAAGCGUGGACGCCAGUCUGCGUGGAGCCGACCUUGAAAUACCACCCUUUAAUGUUUGAUGUUCUAACGUGGAUCCGUAAUCCGGGUUGCGGACAGUGUCUGGUGGGUAGUUUGACUGGGGCGGUCUCCUCCUAAAGAGUAACGGAGGAGCACGAAGGUUGGCUAAUCCUGGUCGGACAUCAGGAGGUUAGUGCAAUGGCAUAAGCCAGCUUGACUGCGAGCGUGACGGCGCGAGCAGGUGCGAAAGCAGGUCAUAGUGAUCCGGUGGUUCUGAAUGGAAGGGCCAUCGCUCAACGGAUAAAAGGUACUCCGGGGAUAACAGGCUGAUACCGCCCAAGAGUUCAUAUCGACGGCGGUGUUUGGCACCUCGAUGUCGGCUCAUCACAUCCUGGGGCUGAAGUAGGUCCCAAGGGUAUGGCUGUUCGCCAUUUAAAGUGGUACGCGAGCUGGGUUUAGAACGUCGUGAGACAGUUCGGUCCCUAUCUGCCGUGGGCGCUGGAGAACUGAGGGGGGCUGCUCCUAGUACGAGAGGACCGGAGUGGACGCAUCACUGGUGUUCGGGUUGUCAUGCCAAUGGCACUGCCCGGUAGCUAAAUGCGGAAGAGAUAAGUGCUGAAAGCAUCUAAGCACGAAACUUGCCCCGA